GAUGAACGCUAGCGAUAGGCUUAACACAUGCAAGUCGAGGGGCAGCACAAGGUAGCUUGCUAUCUGGGUGGCGACCGGCGCACGGGUGCGUAACGCGUAUGCAACUUGCCCUAUGCAGGAGGAUAACCCGUCGAAAGACGGACUAAUACUGCGUAUGCUCACAACUUGGCAUCAAGUGGUGAGGAAAGAAAUUCGGUAUAGGAUAGGCAUGCGUCCCAUUAGCUUGUUGGUGAGGUAACGGCUCACCAAGGCAACGAUGGGUAGGGGAACUGAGAGGUUUAUCCCCCACACUGGUACUGAGACACGGACCAGACUCCUACGGGAGGCAGCAGUGAGGAAUAUUGGUCAAUGGGCGCGAGCCUGAACCAGCCAAGUCGCGUGAAGGAUGACUGUCUUAUGGAUUGUAAACUUCUUUUAGACGGGAAUAACAAGAGUCACGUGUGACUCCCUGCAUGUACCGUAUGAAUAAGCAUCGGCUAACUCCGUG
RNAcentral lists this ribosomal RNA (487 nucleotides) under uncultured bacterium. RNAcentral describes it as "partial 16S ribosomal RNA". It matches the Rfam family "Bacterial small subunit ribosomal RNA", at positions 28 to 507 of the family's 1533-position model. The record is from RNAcentral.